This 1562-nucleotide long non-coding RNA is filed under the name Canis lupus familiaris (dog). RNAcentral describes it as "lncRNA (ENSCAFG00845015041.1)". The record is from RNAcentral. Lineage: Eukaryota; Metazoa; Chordata; Mammalia; Carnivora; Canidae.
UUUUUUUUUUUUUUUUCAAUCUAUGCCUCACAUAGACACCAAAACCAUCUGUUUAUAAAAUAAAUCUCGUUGACACACUUCUGUAUUAAUUAUUACCAGGAUUAGUGGUUCUUACCACAUUUGCCCACUAGAAUCGCUUAAGGGGAAAAGUGGUAAAAAUACCAGUGUUUGAAGGGAGGUGGGUAGGGGUGGGGCUGACUGGGUGACCGGCACUGAGGGGGCACUUGAUGGGAUGAGCACUGGGUGUUAUUCUAUAUUUUGGCAAAUUGAACACCAAUAAAAAUAAAAUAAAAUAAAAACAAAUAAAUAAAUAAAAUAAAAAAUAAAAAAAUACCAGUGUUGGGACCUGCCUCUCUGAUCCCUACAAAUCCAUUAAAUCAGAAUCUCUGAAGUUAGUGCUAGGUCUCCAACAUUUUUAAAACACUCCUGAAUGGUUCUUACAUAUAGCCCAAGUUAAGAAUACUGACCUUGAGAGUAUAUUUUAGAUGCCACAUACGAAUAUUGAAGCUUUUUAAGUGAUAUGCAUAGGAUUUGCUAUCAAAUGGAUCUGGAUUCAAUUCCUAAGUAUUUCACUUGCUCAUGACACUUGACUCCCCCUGAGUUUCUCUUUCCUCAUCUACAAUAUGGAAAUGGCUACAAUAUGUGUGGAAAAGCAGAAUUAUCUAUUUCCUUCCAUCUUUAUUCUUUUCCCUAUUCACUCUGUGUAAAGAAAGAUCCUUUAACACAUGUCUAAGUUUGCUAUUGGGGAUGACCGGGAUUAAUAGGAGAAAGGAUUGCUGCUUUUGAAAAUACUCUGUUAAAACAUCACUACCACCAACAGAAAACCAAACACCUAACCCUACUCUCCAGAACUUUGCAGCAUACGAUGGAUAGCAGAUCCGUAGUAUUUCAACUUAAUACAUGCUCAGAGUGAAUUAAUAACUCAAGGAAACAUCGUGGGAUAUAGGGUUACUAUCACUUUCCAAUGAAUUACAUAAUGUUCAGUAAUAUUACUUCUUCUUUUAAUAAAACUCAUUUUGAUACAUUUUGAAAGCUGUGGAGAAAACAACCCUCAUACAGAGAUUUUUAACUCAUUUCUAGGUAUAGGAACUUGAGCCAAGAAAAGUGUGACCUAAGUGUGACACUUCCAUUACAUCACCAGAGUCUUCAUGCCAGGGGCAUCUUUGAUAUGAGAUUUGCAUACAAUGAAGCACUUUUCAGCAUAGGUAAUAUCUUCCUUAAGAAUAUCAAUCAUUCAUAAAAUAUAGUUCAUGAAGUACUUUAACAUAUCUAAUUAUAUUUGAGUAUUGAAAGAAAAACUUUUUAAAGGAAGAGAACAGAUAAUAUUUGUUCCUUUUCAUGAUUGAAAAAUUGGGGGAAAUUGACCUCCUUAUGGCCACUCAGCACUUUGCUACAUGUAGGAAUCAGACCUUGGACUUCCAGUUUAAUUUCCAUUCUAAUAGCACAUACUGCUGUUUCUCCUAAAUUGGCAGAAAGAUCUCAGAUAGCCUAUUCUUGUAGCAAUCAAAAUGCUUUUGUGGAGGUUGUUUUCAACAACAACAACAAAACACAUGAAAUUGUAA